UGAGAUUGGUGGUUUGCAUGGUAGCA
Molecule: non-coding RNA, 26 nt
Filed under: Rattus norvegicus (Norway rat)
Lineage: Eukaryota; Metazoa; Chordata; Mammalia; Rodentia; Muridae
Source: RNAcentral